RNAcentral lists this long non-coding RNA (820 nucleotides) under Olea europaea subsp. europaea. Lineage: Eukaryota; Viridiplantae; Streptophyta; Magnoliopsida; Lamiales; Oleaceae. The record is from RNAcentral.
GUUCUAGUAGACGGAUUUUUUGCAAUUUUCGUACCUGGGCAUAUAAUUGUAAACGUCGUGAAUUUCGAGAUUAUUUUGAUUUACCACCAUCACCAAGAUCAAUAAGACAAAGAACUAAAUAGAAGCCCAUCCAAAAAAAAUAAAUAAAUAAUAAAAUUGAGAAUUGCAAAAGUUGAUUCCAUCAAAUAUUAAUUCAUUUCAAGUACAAACAAAUUCACCUAGAUUGUAAUGUUACUCAGAGCCCCAAGAGCUCCGCCGAAGAUCACUCUUUGCACCAUGCGAAGAGCGAUAUCUCUGAAAUGAAGCGUGGAGAACGCAAUCUCUGCACACCAUGGAGAUCGUCUCCAUGCUGUGCGGAGAGCAGAGACGUCUCCGCGCUGAGCGGAGAUCCGCAAUCUGGCGAAGACUUCUCUGCCCACCGAUGCGGUCCGUAUUCAAGCUCGACUGAAUUAAAAUUUUCAAAUUCGAUAGAUUCUAUUUCAUCAUUUGAUUUAGACAAAAUGGAAAGAAAGCAAUCGCUUAACUUAUAUAGGAAUAAUUGAUCAACCAGUCCAGAACAAUAGUAUGUGCAAUUUAGGCCUUCUUUUGCAAAUUUGAAUUUAGACGAGAUUUCGAUUUUUUGGAUUUUUGGAAAAAAGGAAAAGAAAAUGAAGAAGAAGAGUAGUACAGAAGUGGUAGGUUUAGUGGAAAAGUAGACAGAGAGUACAAAUGGGUACUAAAAAUAGAUUGCCUCAUGCUUCCUUCCAAUGGCCCAAUAUAAUACAUCGUUUUUAGCUAAUGAAAUAAGAGGAAAAAAUUAGUAGAGGACAAUACAUAUUUA